ACCCACAAACCCUAGCCGCCGCUCCUUUCCGACCGUCGUUCCUUCACCCUUUCUCACCCCUUCGAGACACCACCCUCCCUCGGCCUCUCUCAUCUUCUCUCCCUCGCCAUUCCCACGACACAGCCCCAUACCUACCCUUUCCCCCUUUUCCCCUAUUCCUUUUUCCCCCCAUUCGAACCACCCACCAGUAGCGCCCACACCCCACAACCAAGCCACCCCUUUUAUUUUAUUUUAUUUAUUUAUUAUUUAUAUUAUUUUUUUUACUAAUUUUUUAUUUUAUUAUUCUUAUACUUAGAUUUUAAAUCUAUUUUAACUUUUCUACUAUUUCUAUUAUUUUUAGUAUUUUUUUACUAUUAUUAUUACAACUACCUUUAAGUUUAUUGGUAUCAUUGAGUUUAUUAUUAUUUUAUUUUUUAUUUUAUUUAUCUUUCUUUUUAAUUUUGUUUUAGU
Molecule: long non-coding RNA, 450 nt
Filed under: Gossypium raimondii (Peruvian cotton)
Lineage: Eukaryota; Viridiplantae; Streptophyta; Magnoliopsida; Malvales; Malvaceae
Description: long non-coding RNA (GRAI_LNC002254)
Source: RNAcentral